GGUUCAGGAUGAACGCUAGCUACAGGCUUAACACAUGCAAGGUCGAGGGGCAUCAUGGGUGUGGCUUGCCACACCUGAUGGCGACCGGCGCACGGGUGAGUAACACGUAUCCAACCUUCCCCGCGGUAGGGAACAGGCCGGUGAAAACCGGAUUAAUGCCCUAUGGUCUCCUUUGAAGGCAUCUGAAGAGGAGUAAAGAUUGAUCGCCGUGGGAUGGGGAUGCGCCCGAUUAGGCGGCAGGCGGGGUGACGGCCCACCUGGCCCGCGAUCGGUAGGGGUUCUGAGAGGAAGGUCCCCCACACUGGUACUGAGACACGGACCAGACUCCUACGGGAGGCAGCAGUGAGGAAUAUUGGUCAAUAGGCGGAAGCCUGAACCAGCCAAGUAGCGUGCAAGGAUGACGGCCCUACGGGUUGUAAACUGCUUUUAUGCGGGGAUAAAGUUCAGCACGUGUGCUGUUUUGCAGGUACCGCAUGAAUAAGGACCGGCUAAUUCCGUGCCAGCAGCCGC
Molecule: ribosomal RNA, 510 nt
Filed under: uncultured bacterium
Lineage: Bacteria
Description: bacterial SSU rRNA
Rfam family: Bacterial small subunit ribosomal RNA
Source: RNAcentral